GUGUUGUUCGGAAAGCUCAUACUACCCGAGGAGCAGAAAGGGUCAGAGAAGACGCAGCUUUCAUCAGGCGGAUCGAACCAGAACUGUGUUGUGGGUUCUUCAUCAGAAGAAGGAUCACCUUGCUCCAAAAAAGCUCAUGAUGGAUUGGGUUUGGAGACGGGGCAUUGUAAAGUGUUUAUGGAGUCGGACGAUGUUGGUCGGACGUUAGACCUGUCGGUUCUUGGCUCGUACGAAGAGUUGGGUAUGAAGCUCUCUGACAUGUUUGGUAUUCAAAAGUCUGAGAUGUUGAGCUCUGUUCUCUAUAGGGAUGCAUCAGGAGCAGUCAAGUACCCAGGAAACGAACCUUUCAGGUAAAAACAAGAAGCAGAGUUUUGUAUAUAAAUGUCCUAAUCUGUGGAGAUUGAGUUAAGCAUCUGAUUAGUAAAUAAAUGUUUGCAGUGAGUUCUUGAAGACAGCUCGGAGAUUGACGAUUCUGUCUGAGCAAGGAAGCGAGAGCGUUGUGGUAUAAGAAUGAAUCAGUGUGUUUUCUUGGAGCUUGGAAGUCAAAGCUUGAAGUUUCUGUUUAUUUUUCUUUGUUUAAAAAUAUUUAUUUUGGUUCCAUUAUUUUGGUUUAUGUAAUUUACGAAAUAUACAGUCAUUCUAUUUGCAAAUAAAAUAGAUUCAUCUUUUCUUGAUAUGAUGUCACUUUAUUUACAAAAUCUAAAGCUAAUGAUUAUAGCUUGGUAAAACUAAAACCUAGAGACUCAAGCUAAUCUUUGUAUUGCUUUUCUUUUUGAUUCCCUUGUCUACCUUUGGAUUGCAAGAUCUGGUGAACCUUGGUUUAAUAUAGUUGAAUAGUUAGAUUGCUGAUUGUAGUUGAUACUUGUAUAUGCAUUUAACUUGUAAGUUGGAAGUAGUGUACAAAGAAGAUAAUCAAUAUAAGAGAUUAUUUUGAAGCUCUCUUGUUUCUCUCAUCUUCUUCCUCUUGUAGAUUCGUUUUACAUAGGAGCCUCAUAUAGUAUCUUACUGAAGUAAACGUUGGUUGCAUGGCUUAGUCUACAGGUUCAUGUGUUCAGGUAACCCCUUCCGCAAGUUGCCUUAUUUUCAAAAAUUAGAUAAAUUGCUUAAAAUAUUAUUAAAAAUACAUUCAUCAAAAAUCUAUUAAUAUUUGGGUUUAAGGUUUGGUGAGUAUUGUUUAGAGUUUAAUAUCUAAGGGGUGGGACUGGGUUUAUAAAUUUCUAUAAAUAAUUUUUAAACAUUUUUAAAUGAUUUAGAAUGGUUAGUUUAGUUUUUUUUAUCACAAAUUCAAGGUAUUUAUGAAAAUUUUCAUCCUUUAAAGUUAAAUUUGAAAAAUGAUAUUAAAUUUAAAGUUAAAUUAGAAUUUCCCUGUAUUCUUUACUUGUAAUCCAAGAAAGGCUCAAGGUUGCAUUUUGUGUGUUUCAGGUGGCGUGGGAUGAGCCGGAUCUACUCCAAAACGUGAAGCGGGUUAACCCGUGGUUGGUCGAGUUGGUAUCCAACGUACAUCCGAUAAUCCCUUCGUUUUCGCCACCUAGGAAAAAGAUGAGGCUACCUCAGCAUCCGGAUUACAACACUCGGAUCUCAGUACCUUCAUUCGCAAGCAACCCUCUUAUCAGAUCUGUUCUGGACAAUGUUCCCGUGGGUUUACAGGGAGCCAGGCAUAAUGCUCAUCAGUACUACGGGCUAUCAUCUUCUGAUCUCCACCAUUACUACUUAAACCGACCUCAUCCUCCUCCAUCAUCAACUCUCUCUGUUCCUCCACCUCUAGGGUUUCGAAACAUCGAUAGCAAAAACGAGAAAGGGUUCUGUUUCUUGACCAUGGGGACAUCACCGUGUAAUGAUACAGAAUCUAAGAAGUCACACAUCGUGUUGUUCGGAAAGCUCAUACUACCCGAGGAGCAGAAAGGGUCAGAGAAGACGCAGCUUUCAUCAGGCGGAUCGAACCAGAACUGUGUUGUGGGUUCUUCAUCAGAAGAAGGAUCACCUUGCUCCAAAAAAGCUCAUGAUGGAUUGGGUUUGGAGACGGGGCAUUGUAAAGUGUUUAUGGAGUCGGACGAUGUUGGUCGGACGUUAGACCUGUCGGUUCUUGGCUCGUACGAAGAGUUGGGUAUGAAGCUCUCUGACAUGUUUGGUAUUCAAAAGUCUGAGAUGUUGAGCUCUGUUCUCUAUAGGGAUGCAUCAGGAGCAGUCAAGUACCCAGG
Molecule: long non-coding RNA, 2198 nt
Filed under: Brassica napus (rape)
Lineage: Eukaryota; Viridiplantae; Streptophyta; Magnoliopsida; Brassicales; Brassicaceae
Description: long non-coding RNA (BNAP_LNC000095)
Source: RNAcentral